Molecule: ribosomal RNA, 253 nt
Filed under: uncultured bacterium
Lineage: Bacteria
Description: partial 16S ribosomal RNA
Rfam family: Bacterial small subunit ribosomal RNA
Source: RNAcentral
UACGGAGGGGGCAAGCGUUAUUCGGAAUUAUUGGGCGUAAAGGGCGCGUAGGCGGCUAGAUGUGUCAAAGGUGAAAUCCCUCGGCUCAGCUGAGGAACUGCCUUUGAAACUGUCUGGCUUGAGGCCGGGAGAGGGUAGCGGAAUUCCCAGUGUAGCGGUGAAAUGCGUAGAUAUUGGGAGGAACACCAGUGGCGAAGGCGGCUACCUGGACCGGUUCUGACGCUGAGGUGCGAAAGCGUGGGGAGCAAAAGGG